This 404-nucleotide ribosomal RNA is filed under the name uncultured bacterium. RNAcentral's name for it is "bacterial SSU rRNA". It matches the Rfam family "Bacterial small subunit ribosomal RNA", at positions 355 to 775 of the family's 1533-position model. The record is from RNAcentral.
UGGGGAAUAUUGCGCAAUGGGCGAAAGCCUGACGCAGCGACGCCGCGUGAGGGACGACGGCCUUCGGGUUGUAAACCUCUUUCAGUAGGAACGAAUCAAGACGGUACCUGCAGAAGAAGCACCGGCCAACUACGUGCCAGCAGCCGCGGUAAUACGUAGGGUGCAAGCGUUGUCCGGAAUUAUUGGGCGUAAAGAGCUCGUAGGCGGUCUGUCGCGUCGAAUGUGAAAACCCGGGGCUCAACCCCGGGCCUGCAUUCGAUACGGGCAGACUAGAGUUCGGUAGGGGAGUCUGGAAUUCCUGGUGUAGCGGUGAAAUGCGCAGAUAUCAGGAGGAACACCGGUGGCGAAGGCGGGACUCUGGGCCGAUACUGACGCUGAGGAGCGAAAGCGUGGGGAGCGAACAG